Molecule: transfer RNA, 85 nt
Filed under: Magnetococcales bacterium
Lineage: Bacteria; Pseudomonadati; Pseudomonadota; Magnetococcia; Magnetococcales
Description: tRNA-Leu
Rfam family: tRNA
About the family: Transfer RNA (tRNA) molecules are approximately 80 nucleotides in length. Their secondary structure includes four short double-helical elements and three loops (D, anti-codon, and T loops). Further hydrogen bonds mediate the characteristic L-shaped molecular structure. tRNAs have two regions of fundamental functional importance: the anti-codon, which is responsible for specific mRNA codon recognition, and the 3' end, to which the tRNAs corresponding amino acid is attached (by aminoacyl-tRNA synthetases). tRNAs cope with the degeneracy of the genetic code in two manners: having more than one tRNA (with a specific anti-codon) for a particular amino acid; and 'wobble' base-pairing, i.e. permitting non-standard base-pairing at the 3rd anti-codon position.
Source: RNAcentral
GCCCGCAUGGCGGAACUGGUAGACGCUGCGGACUUAAAAUCCGUUUCCCUUGGGAGUCCCGGUUCGAUUCCGGGUGUGGGCACCA